RNAcentral lists this transfer RNA (68 nucleotides) under Loxodonta africana (African savanna elephant). It matches the Rfam family "tRNA". Rfam says of the family: Transfer RNA (tRNA) molecules are approximately 80 nucleotides in length. Their secondary structure includes four short double-helical elements and three loops (D, anti-codon, and T loops). The record is from Rfam by way of RNAcentral. Lineage: Eukaryota; Metazoa; Chordata; Mammalia; Proboscidea; Elephantidae.
GGUGGUAUGGUUGAUUAAUCUCUUGGCUGCUAACCAAAAGGUCGAUGGUUCAAACCCAUCAUCCAUUC